CCUACGGGAGGCAGCAGUGGGGAAUAUUGCACAAUGGGGGAAACCCUGAUGCAGCAACGCCGCGUGAGCGAUGAAGGCCUUCGGGUCGUAAAGCUCUGUCCUAAGGGAAGAAUACUGACGGUACCUUAGGAGGAAGCCCCGGCUAACUACGUGCCAGCAGCCGCGUUAAUACGUAGGGGGCUAGCGUUAUCCGGAAUUACUGGGCGUAAAGGGUGCGUAGGCGGCCCUUCAAGUCAGAGGUGAAAGGCUACGGCUUAACCGUAGUAAGCCUUUGAAACUGUAGGGCUUGAGUGCAGGAGAGGAGAGUGGGAUUCCCAGUGUAGCGGUGAAAUGCGGAGAUAUUGGGAGGAACACCAGUUGCGAAGGCGGCUCUGCGGACGGUGACUGACGCUGAGGCACGAAAGCGUGGGGAGCGAACAGGAUUAGAUGCGGUUGUAGUU
Molecule: ribosomal RNA, 440 nt
Filed under: uncultured bacterium
Lineage: Bacteria
Description: bacterial SSU rRNA
Rfam family: Bacterial small subunit ribosomal RNA
Source: RNAcentral